Molecule: ribosomal RNA, 430 nt
Filed under: Sesamia congoensis
Lineage: Eukaryota; Metazoa; Arthropoda; Insecta; Lepidoptera; Noctuidae
Description: partial 16S ribosomal RNA
Source: RNAcentral
UUAAAGGGCUGCAGUAUAUUGACUGUACAAAGGUAGCAUAAUCAUUAGUCAUUUAAUUGAUGACUUGUAUGAAGGAUUGGAUGAAAUAUAAACUGUCUCUUAAUUAUAUUUAGAAUUUAAUUUUUUAAUUAAAAAGUUAAAAUAAAUUAGAAAGACGAGAAGACCCUAUAGAGUUUUAUAGAUAAAAUUAAUUGAGAUUAUUUGUAAAGAUUAAAUUAAGAUUAAUUUAUUUAUUUUGUUGGGGUGACAGAAAAAUAUGAAAAACUUUUUAUAUGUUUUAAAACAUUAAUAAGUGGUUAAAUGAUCCAGUAUUAUUGAUUAUAAGAAAAAAUUACCUUAGGGAUAACAGCGUAAUUUUUUUUUUUAGUUCACAUAAAAAAAAAAGUUUGCGACCUCGAUGUUGGAUUAAGAUAAAAUUUAAAUGCAGAAG